Molecule: long non-coding RNA, 668 nt
Organism: Homo sapiens (human)
Lineage: Eukaryota; Metazoa; Chordata; Mammalia; Primates; Hominidae
Gene: CASC9
Product: cancer susceptibility 9
Source: Ensembl
GUCACCCCUUUCUUUGACUGGGAAAGGGAACUCCCUGACCCUUUGCGCUUCCCAAGUGAGGCAAUGCCUCGCCCUGCUUCGGCUGGCGCACAGUGCACGCACCCACUGACCCGCGCCCACUGUCUGGCACUCCCUAGUGAGAUGAACCCGGUACCUCAGAUGGAAAUGCAGAAAUCACCCGUCUUCUGCGUCGCUCACGCUGGGAGCUGUAGACCGGAGCUGUUCCUAUUCGGCCAUCUUGGCUCCUCCGAAUCUCUCUCUGUCACCCAGGCUGGAGUACAGUGGUAUGAUCUCGGCUCACUCGAACCCUCCUCCUCCCGGGUUCAAGCGAUUCUUCUCCCUCAGUCGCCCGAGUAGCUAGUACCACAGUUGUCUUUGAUAACGUAAGUCACCGUAUCGCAAGGCCCUUUGGCAAGGAAGUGAGAGCGGCCUCCUCAUAAUAGUCAGCAAGAAACUAAGGCCCUCAGCUCAACAGCCUGCAAGGAAGCAAGCCCAGCCCACAACCCUGUGAGCUUCAAAGUGGAUUCUUCUUCAGUCAGGCUUCCAGAUGACAGCCUAGCCCUUGAUCGCAGUCUGUGACAGACACUGAAGCAAAGCAUCCAACUAAACUGUGUCUGGAUUCUUGUCCCACUGGAGUUAAAAUAAUAAAUUUGCAUUAUUUAAACUGC